GUGCUCACUUUGGCAGCUCAUUUGCUAAAAUUGGAACAAUACAGAGAUGAGCAUGGCCCCUGCACAAGGAUGACAUGCAAACGCGUGAAGUGUUCCAUGUUUUU
Molecule: small nuclear RNA, 104 nt
Filed under: Colobus angolensis palliatus
Lineage: Eukaryota; Metazoa; Chordata; Mammalia; Primates; Cercopithecidae
Source: RNAcentral